UUUCCGUGGGUGAACCUGCGGAAGGAUCAUUAUUGUAUAACCGAGGUGCGAGGGCUGUCGCUGACCCGAAAGGUCGUGCACGCCCGAGUGCCCUCACACACAUCCAUCUCACCCCUAUGUGCACCACCGCGUGGGUCCCCCUUUGGCUUGUUCGGAGGGGGGCUUACGUUUUCACACAAACUUUGUAUGUAGUGUAGAAUGUAUUUUUUGUUUUUGCGAUCACGCAAUCAAUACAACUUUCAACAACGGAUCUCUUGGCUCUC
This 263-nucleotide unclassified non-coding RNA is filed under the name plant metagenome. Its description in RNAcentral is "partial contains small subunit ribosomal RNA, internal transcribed spacer 1, and 5.8S ribosomal RNA". The record is from RNAcentral.